RNAcentral lists this ribosomal RNA (300 nucleotides) under Ochromonas sp. CCMP1393. Its description in RNAcentral is "partial Bacterial small subunit ribosomal RNA". It matches the Rfam family "Bacterial small subunit ribosomal RNA", at positions 1211 to 1532 of the family's 1533-position model. The record is from RNAcentral. Lineage: Eukaryota; Chrysophyceae; Chromulinales; Chromulinaceae.
GGGCUACACACGUGCUACAAUGGUGGUGACAGUGGGUUAAUCCCCAAAAGCCAUCUCAGUUCGGAUUGUCGUCUGCAACUCGACGGCAUGAAGUCGGAAUCGCUAGUAAUCGUGGAUCAGCAUGCCACGGUGAAUACGUUCCCGGGCCUUGUACACACCGCCCGUCACACCAUGGGAGUGGGAUGCAAAAGAAGUAGUUAGUUUAACCUUCGGGAGAACGAUUACCACUUUGUGUUUCAUGACUGGGGUGAAGUCGUAACAAGGUAACCCUAGGGGAACCUGGGGUUGGAUCACCUCCUU